GAGCCGCCGCUUGGGUCACAGUGAAAGGCAGCGUUGCCCGGGGAUGGGUCCCUGACACUUGGCGAAGGAGGUGCCCUGUGUGGUCGUGCGUCUGAGUCUGGGCUGAGACCAGUCCUGGCCAGGGCAGGUACCAGGACGGUCUCCGGAGGACGGGAUUCGCGGAGGGUCCACCAGCAGGAAGAAACCCCAGGAGGAAGAAACCUCAGAAAGAUCGCCGGCGAGGGAGCGCGGGAUCCCAGCCUCAGGCGUGCGCGGACGGUGUGCGGGUGAGUCUCCCCAAAAGUGGAGCCCUUGUGAUGACGAGCACAGGUCCGCCUGUGUGCCCGUGGGCUGCUCUCUCCCUGGUGGCUCGUAGUCGAGUAAAGCAGAAGCAGCAGUUUCAGGGGCUGACACUAAGAACAAUGCAUACUGGCAAAGUGAGGUGUCUCACAUCUUUAAUCCCAGCAGUUUGGGAGGCUGAGGCGGAUGGAUCACUUGAGGUCAGGGGAUCGCACCAGCCUAACCAACAUGAUGAAACUCCGUGUCUACUAAAAAAAAGUACAAGACAGUUAGCUCGGUGUGUUGGCAUAUGCCUGUAAAUCCCAGCUAUUUGGGAGGCAGAGGCAGGAGAAUCGGUUGAACCCGUGUGGCAGAGGUUGCGGUGAGUGAAGAUUGCGCCACUACACUCUAGCCUGGGUAACAAGCACAAAACUCUGUCUCAAAAAAAAGAAAAAAAAAAAUAACAGUGCAGAGUUAGGCCAGAUUUAUUUUCAGAGUAGGAGGGAAUUUCGAAUUUUGGGUGAAAUGUCCCAGUUGCCAGAAGGUGAAAGUGUUCUCUGAUGUAAAAUUUAGGUCACACUCUAUAAAGCUUCUCCUCGUUCUAUGUGUGAACAGCUAGUCUGUAUCUUCACCUAUGCAUAUUUAAAAAUCAACCUUAAGAAGGCUCUUGGCCACCAUAAUCCUUCCUACACUGUAGCAAGAACCCAGCCUCACACUAUGCUUCCUUCUGCCUCCGACUGCAAUGCCUUCCCCCGAAUCUCCAAGGUACCAAACCGGUCAGGGGCAGCUGAGACAGCUCUACUUCUAGGAGUCCUCCCCAAGCCCUUGAAAUCACAGGCAUCUCUGCUGUCCCUGCCCUUCAUCCACAUCACUGAACAAUUAAGCACACACAUCUGUGUAGUUUUAUUUAAACUGUUCCAUGUGUGUUUACAAUUAACAACAUGAAUGGCUGCGGUAUGGAUGCAGCAGAAAGGAAUGCUGAGGGAGGACUCCAGUUAGAAUGAGCCAGUUUUCCAGGACUAGGAAUGAACUUUCCCCAGUACCAACAAGGCAGCCUCCAGGGCAAGAAAUGGUAACAGAAUCAAUCCAUCCUGUUGACAGUCAAGAUGGAAUUACAGAGAAUUCUCACCUCUUUUUUGACUCUCAGGUGGAAACCCCCUUCCCAUGGGGUGAAGCGCAGUCUGCUCCAGAGCCCCACUGUUGGGGUCGGGGAUGUCACAGAAAUUAACAGGGCAGCCAAUUCCCAUCCAGAGGGGGCCCAGGAUGACCCCGAACCCUCUAGCUCAGCCCCAAGCUCGGACCAGGGAGUGAAGCCCUUGUCCCCAAGCAACAGAGUGAGGGUCUGUCUCUAACCCGGUGGGCUCCAGUGAAAGGAAAAUGGCCUGGAGGUGCCCACAGGAGGGCGCCCUAGUUCUGAGACAGGUCUACGGCUCCCAGACUGCGUCCCCAUGAGUAACACAGGGACACGCAGAGGGGCAUACUGAGUGCCUAUAGGGGACUCACGGACUGCAGAUGCACGCUGCGGAUCCAGAAGCCGGUCAGGUAAUGAGGUGCAGAGGUGUGGGGAAGACCUGGGUGCCAACCAGCGUAACCAGCCAGGGCCACCAAACAGAAGUGCUUCUGACAUUAAUGCGACACACAGAAGGUGUGUAGGGUGGGUAGUGGAAGUGACCGCAGAGGCCUCUGGGGAUUGUAGUUUUGGAGCUAGAGAGGCGGGCAAGCAGUUGGCUUCGCCCACACGGUGUGCCUCUCACAUCUGCACAGCGCACACAACCAAGCUUAGGAGCCGACUGUUAAGAUGCCCAAGUGACACGGACAAGUUUCUCCUCUGCAACCCAAUGAGAUCUGCUGACCACGAGAGCAUCGCGGGGCCGCCAAAGGAUUCUGGAAAAUGUGGUCCCGGGUGGCCAGUGUGCGCUGACCUUCACCUGAAGGUACGGCUUGAAGGAAACUUCUGGAGGGUGGGGUGGUGUUGAAGAGAAGGCACAGUUGUAACCAUUUUGUUCAACAUGGGCGUUUUCUUUGUGCAUUGAUUUGCAUU
RNAcentral lists this long non-coding RNA (2299 nucleotides) under Pan troglodytes (chimpanzee). RNAcentral's name for it is "long non-coding RNA NONPTRT008084". Lineage: Eukaryota; Metazoa; Chordata; Mammalia; Primates; Hominidae. The record is from RNAcentral.